Molecule: ribosomal RNA, 812 nt
Filed under: uncultured organism
Description: bacterial SSU rRNA
Rfam family: Bacterial small subunit ribosomal RNA
Source: RNAcentral
CGUGCCAGCAGCCGCGGUAAGACGUAGGACGCGAGCGUUAUCCGGAUUUGCUGGGCGUAAAGCGUGUGUAGGCGGCGUGACAAGUUGGGCGUGAAAGCCCCGUGCUCAACGCGGGGAGGCCGCACAAUACUGUCAGGCUAGAGGGCAUCAGAGGGGUGUGGAAUUCCCGGAGUAGCGGUAAAAUGCGCAGAUAUCGGGAGGAACACCGGUGGCGAAAGCGGCACCCUGGGGUGCACCUGACGCUGAGAGACGACAGCUAGGGGAGCGAACAGGAUUAGAGACCCUGGUAGUCCUAGCCGUAAACGAUGGAUGCUAGGUGUGGGAGUGAAGAACUUCUGUGCCGCAGCGAACGCGAUAAGCAUCCCGCCUGGGGAGUACGGCCGCAAGGUUAAAACUCAAACGAAUUGACGGGGACCCGCACAAGCAGCGGAGCGUGUGGUUUAAUUCGAUGCUACACGAAGAACCUUACCUGGGAUUGACAUAUGGGUGGUAGUGAGCCGAAAGGCAAGCGACCCUUCGGGGAGCCUAUACAGGUGCUGCAUGGCUGUCGUCAGCUCGUGCCGUGAGGUGUCGGGUUAAGUCCCGUAACGAGCGCAACCCCUGUCCUUAGUUACAAGUGUCUAAGGGGACUGCCGGCGGGAAGCCGGAGGAAGGUGGGGAUGACGUCAAGUCAGCAUGGCCCUUAUAUCCAGGGCGACACACACGCUACAAUGGUCGGUACAGAGGGCAGCGAAGCCGCGAGGUGGAGCGAAACCCAGAAAGCCGGUCGUAGUUCGGAUUGCAGGCUGCAACUCGCCUGCAUGAAGUUGGAG